AGGUUACACUUUGCAUUAUCAGCCCAUGCUUCAGUGCUCUGCUAGUGUUUAUAGUCCUGUGAGUUUAACACUUCAUGACUGAGAGCUGCUGCCCAGCAACUUCACCCACAGCAACCAUGACUUUCUUCUCCAUCUUCAUCUGGACUCUCACUCUCUGGACUGGAGGGUCUUUUGGGGAAGUCAUAAUGACUCAGUCUCCAAAUUCUCAGCUUGUGACUCCAGGACAGACUGUUACCAUCAGCUGCAGAUCCAGUCAGGACAUUUAUAGCGCUCUCGCCUGGUAUCUUCAGAAAUCUGGAGAAGCUCCUAAACUGCUGGUUUAUGAUGCAUCUUCUCGUCAGUCUGGUGUUCCUGGUCGUUUUACUGGGAGUGGAUCUGGAUCUGAAUAUUCUCUACAGAUCUCUGGAGUUCAGGCUGAAGAUGCAGGAGAUUAUUACUGUCAGGAGGGUAGCAGCGGGUUAACACAGUGUUAGAGCGUCGUACAAAAACCUCCCUCAUCUGUAGAGGAAGUGCUCAGACUCAGAAACACACACUGAUCUGAGAUCAGCUGAUAAAGCUGCACUCAGCUGAGCUCAUCAACUCCAGAACUCUACAGUAGUGAACUUUUCUCUUUCUUUAGGGAGUUUUCCUCACUGUGGAACAGAGAUUUCACCACUAGAUGGAACAUCUCACUAGUAGCAGUGAAGCAGCAGCAGAUACACACUCUUAGGAGAUCACACACACUCUCCAGAGACUGGGAUUAAUAUUUUUCAGGUCAUUUUUGGAAGAAAUGAACGACAUGAGCUCCAGAACAAAACUGAAAAGUACCAUGCAGACUGUUCUCAGCAACAAGUCCAAAAUUCAGGUUCAGUCAUGGUAUGGAGGUGCAUCACUACAC
Molecule: non-coding RNA, 877 nt
Organism: Astyanax mexicanus (Mexican tetra)
Lineage: Eukaryota; Metazoa; Chordata; Actinopteri; Characiformes; Acestrorhamphidae
Source: the annotation of a RefSeq genome assembly